ACUGUGAUCGUGGGCAAGAAAGGGGGACUCACAGCUUGGAAGAAGGUAGAACUCAGCUGCUAGGGAAGUACUUCACUCUUCAUUAUACUGGCCGAGUAAAAGGGGAACGUAUCAUCAUCAGCUUACUUCUAAAGCUACACAAAUGAGAAACUGCAACGCUGAGACUUGUAUGAAGGGACUCACCCAAGGCCACACUGCAGUUCAGCCUUUGAUAGAGGCUGGACCAAGAGCUCAAAGCAAGCCUAGCUCUUUGUAAUAUAGGAGAUUCUCCUUCUGAAAGUAUCACCAUUGCCUAGUGGACUGUUUGACUUAACCCCGUUGCAGGUGAAUCAUUUGUAGAACAGCUUGCGCCUGUUUCCAAAUGAGUGCUUAAAGCCUGGGAAAAAACAAAGCAUGCUGCAGUCUAUGGCUGUAGCGGAAGCUAUGUGGAAGCCUGGAGCAAAGAAGGAAUAAAAAUUAAUGUGGGAAUCCUCUGGCAGUGCUAUGUUUUGAACACUUCCCUGUCAUUACAAUAAACAGGUACUUUUACUUAA
This is a long non-coding RNA of Harpia harpyja (harpy eagle), 533 nucleotides long. RefSeq lists it as uncharacterized. Lineage: Eukaryota; Metazoa; Chordata; Aves; Accipitriformes; Accipitridae. The record is from RefSeq and is a predicted model, not a curated record. The transcript is spliced from 2 exons.